Molecule: ribosomal RNA, 394 nt
Filed under: uncultured bacterium
Lineage: Bacteria
Description: bacterial SSU rRNA
Rfam family: Bacterial small subunit ribosomal RNA
Source: RNAcentral
UUUUGCGCAAUGCUCGUAAGAGUGACGCAGCGACGCCGCGUGAGCGAUGAAGGCCUUCGGGUCGUAAAGCUCUGUCCUCAAGGAAGAUAAUGACGGUACUUGAGGAGGAAGCCCCGGCUAACUACGUGCCAGCAGCCGCGGUAAUACGUAGGGGGCUAGCGUUAUCCGGAAUUACUGGGCGUAAAGGGUGCGUAGGUGGUUUCUUAAGUCAGAGGUGAAAGGCUACGGCUCAACCGUAGUAAGCCUUUGAAACUGGGGAACUUGAGUGCAGGAGAGGAGAGUGGAAUUCCUAGUGUAGCGGUGAAAUGCGUAGAUAUUAGGAGGAACACCAGUUGCGAAGGCGGCUCUCUGGACUGUAACUGACACUGAGGCACGAAAGCGUGGGGAGCAAACA